This 253-nucleotide ribosomal RNA is filed under the name uncultured bacterium. RNAcentral's name for it is "partial 16S ribosomal RNA". It matches the Rfam family "Bacterial small subunit ribosomal RNA", at positions 524 to 776 of the family's 1533-position model. The record is from RNAcentral.
UACAGAGGGUGCAAACGUUGUUCGGAAUUACUGGGCAUAAAGAGCACGUAGGCGGCUCAUCAAGUCACGCGUGAAAUCCCCCGGCUCAACCGGGGAACUGCGCCUGAUACUGGUGGGCUAGAGGACGGUAGGGGUGAGUGGAACUCUAGGUGGAGCGGUGAAAUGCGUAGAUAUCUAGAGGAACACCGGUGGCGAAAGCGGCUCACUGGACCGUAACUGACGCUGAGGUGAGAAAGCUAGGGUAGCAAACGGG